GAUGAACGCUGGCGGCGUGCCUAAUACAUGCAAGUCGAGCGAACAGACGAGGAGCUUGCUCCUCUGACGUUAGCGGCGGACGGGUGAGUAACACGUGGAUAACCUACCUAUAAGACUGGGAUAACUUCGGGAAACCGGAGCUAAUACCGGAUAAUAUAUUGAACCGCAUGGUUCAAUAGUGAAAGACGGUUUUGCUGUCACUUAUAGAUGGAUCCGCGCCGCAUUAGCUAGUUGGUAAGGUAACGGCUUACCAAGGCAACGAUGCGUAGCCGACCUGAGAGGGGGAUCGGCAACACUGGAACUGAGACACGGUCGAGACUACGACGGGAGGAAGCAGUAGGGAAUCUUCCGCAAUGGGCGAAAGCCUGACGGAGCAACGCCGCGUGAGUGAUGAAGGUCUUCGGAUCGUAAAACUCUGUUAUUAGGGAAGAACAUAUGUGUAAGUAACUGUGCACAUCUUGACGGUACCUAAUCAGAAAGCCGCGGCUAACUACGUG
RNAcentral lists this ribosomal RNA (497 nucleotides) under uncultured bacterium. RNAcentral's name for it is "partial 16S ribosomal RNA". It matches the Rfam family "Bacterial small subunit ribosomal RNA", at positions 28 to 507 of the family's 1533-position model. The record is from RNAcentral.